UCCUCUUUGCUAUUGCUGAUAUCUUCAAUUAUCGUGGUAGUCUCUCGAAACGUAGGUUUCAAUCAGUCUUUCUUGGAUGCAACAGCCUCUGAUGAUCCGAGAUGAAAAGUGUUUGUUUUUCGUGA
Notothenia coriiceps (black rockcod) is the source of this 125-nucleotide long non-coding RNA. RefSeq lists it as uncharacterized. The transcript is spliced from 4 exons. Lineage: Eukaryota; Metazoa; Chordata; Actinopteri; Perciformes; Nototheniidae. The record is from RefSeq and is a predicted model, not a curated record.